Molecule: ribosomal RNA, 253 nt
Filed under: uncultured bacterium
Lineage: Bacteria
Description: partial 16S ribosomal RNA
Rfam family: Bacterial small subunit ribosomal RNA
Source: RNAcentral
UACGUAGGGUGCGAGCGUUAAUCGGAAUUACUGGGCGUAAAGCGUGCGCAGGCGGUUGUGUAAGUCAGAGGUGAAAUCCCCGGGCUCAACCUGGGAAUGGCCUUUGAGACUGCACGGCUAGAGUGUGACAGAGGGGGGUAGAAUUCCACGUGUAGCAGUGAAAUGCGUAGAGAUGUGGAGGAAUACCGAUGGCGAAGGCAGCCCCCUGGGUUACUACUGACGCUCAUGCACGAAAGCGUGGGGAGCAAACAGG